Long non-coding RNA from Apis florea (little honeybee), 264 nucleotides. The record is from RefSeq and is a predicted model, not a curated record. Lineage: Eukaryota; Metazoa; Arthropoda; Insecta; Hymenoptera; Apidae.
AGAUUAAUAUUUUUAAGAUUGUUUUUAUUGUAAUUUAUUAUACUCCUCGUAACUGAUAAGAUGCGUGCGUUUUAGAUAUAAGUCCUAGUUUUAAGUAUAAUAUAAGAUAGAUUAAGAUUUUAGUAUUAAGAUUUAAUUUUAAUUUCUUUAUUGUAAUUUAUUAUAUUCUACGUAAGAUGCGUGCGUUUUAGAUUUAAGUCCUAGUUUUAAGUAUAAUAUAGAUAGAUUAAGAUUUUAGUAUUAAGAUUUAAUUUUUAAUAUUUU